This 460-nucleotide ribosomal RNA is filed under the name uncultured bacterium. RNAcentral's name for it is "partial 16S ribosomal RNA". It matches the Rfam family "Bacterial small subunit ribosomal RNA", at positions 338 to 795 of the family's 1533-position model. The record is from RNAcentral.
CCUACGGGUGGCAGCAGUGAGGAAUAUUGGUCAAUGGGCGAGAGCCUGAACCAGCCAAGUCGCGUGAAGGAUGACGGCCCUACGGGUUGUAAACUUCUUUUGUCAGGGAGCAAUUGGGUCCACGCGUGGGCUUAGCGAGAGUACCUGAAGAAAAAGCAUCGGCUAACUCCGUCCCAGCAGCCGCGGUAAUACGGAGGUUGCGAGCGUUAUCCGGAUUUAUUGGGUUUAAAGGGUGAGUAGGCGGAAUAUCAAGUCAGAGGUAAAAAUUCGGGGCUCAACCCCGUCGUGCCGUUGAAACUGAUGUUCUUGAGUGGGCGAGAGGGAGGCGGAAGGCGUGGUGUAGCGGUGAAAUGCAUAGAUAUAACGAAGAACUCCGAUUGCGAAGGCAGCAUACCGGCGCCCAACUGACGCUGAGGCACGAAAGCGUGGGUAUCGAACAGGAUUAGAUACCCUUGUAGUC